This is a long non-coding RNA of Vicia villosa (hairy vetch), 1205 nucleotides long. RefSeq lists it as uncharacterized. NCBI's taxonomy places the organism in Eukaryota, Viridiplantae, Streptophyta, Magnoliopsida, Fabales, Fabaceae. The record is from RefSeq and is a predicted model, not a curated record. The transcript is spliced from 3 exons.
AAAUCAUUUCCUAUAUGAUUCAUUCAAUCCAUUUACAGGGUGGAAAGUAUGGAAAAAUUUAUUAAGUUUGUUUAUGUUCUAUUCAUAUAUUUUUCUCUUCUUAUUUUUACACCCAUCGUCAAUGGGGGAGCAAUUAAGUGUGAAACUGUUGCUGAUUGUCCAAAUAAUUUGUGUGCGCGUGGUUUAACACAGAAGUGUUAUUUUAAACGUUGUAUAUGUGUUUGAAUAACUACUCGUAUGAUAUGAGUGAUAAACCAAUAAAGUAUAAAAAAUUAAUAUUGUGUUAGAAUAUUCAAUGAGUUGGCCCCUAAUAAUUUAAUUUAAUUUAAUUUUAGAUAUCUUGCUUUGAAUUUGUACUUUGAGGUUAUAUUAAUAAUGUGAAUUGGCAUAAAAAUAUAAUACAGAUUUUUUUUUGUCUCUCAUAAUUUUUUAUCAUAUUGAAAACUUGAGUUUCAAAUCAAGUGAUUACAAUGGAUCCUGUACAUACUUCUCCCAUUUCUAACUCGAUGGUUUAUUCAAACUCCAAAUGAUGAUGGACACCUUAUUUCCGAGGUGGGUUUUUUUGGGGUUUUGAUGGGCCACACUAUAGAGUAAGAUUGUCCACACUAUAGAAAAUUCAACAAGGAUUUACUCUUUUGGAUGUGAUGUAGAAUACAUUCUCAUGCUCUUACUAAGUUCGGCAUUUGAGUGCUAACCUAGCAGGUCAGCCCCUUCUCCGUCGCACUAGAAGCUCAACUCCACCGUAGUAAAACAUCACCUCCUCCUUCACAGAAAGAUCUUGUUCCUAAAUAGAACACGAACGCCGCCUAUGGAAAACUAUCUCUGAUUUACUCGAAUUUAUAUGAAAAACUACAUUUUUCGUCGAAGAUCUAAAUCUUUGAUUUUCAUCAGCUGAAUCAUUGAUCCAUUCUCCCGUUAUUUUGAUAUCAACUUUCUAAGAUUAUGUCAACAUCAAGAAACACUCGAUUUGCAAAAGAUGAUGCAACCAUAGCUCAAUCACUUCCUCUAGAAGUUGAAGAUCCAGUCAUAGUGACCUCUUCAUCUUAUCCAAUGCUGGAAGAUCUGAUUCCCUCAAGAGUCCUCUAGAAAACAAUCCAAGGAAAGCCAUCAAAUCACAGUCCCUUCCAACCCCUAGCACUUGGACAUGAGGCAUUUCCCGAUCUUCAACUAUUGUAAGUCAGUCUAGGCGUGUAAGGAGCACCUGA